UUAUCAUGGAAUUCAUGUUGAAUUACUAGUUACACGAAACAGGCUGUUCACUUAGGAUAAAUAUCACUUUGGUUGGAAAGUCUCUUGCAUAAGAUGGAUGAGCCCAGAUGAAAGUUCAGUCCUACGCCUGAAGGAAGACAGUUUCAUUUUAGUUGCCAGAUAAUGAUGUACCCGUGACGUCCAGGAUCAGAAAGUGAGGUAUGUUAAGAUAAGAUUGUGUGCUUGUUUGUAUGCCUUUUUGACCUUGUUUCCUCUAGGUGGCGGUCCAAGGAUCGGAAGUGAAGG
Mytilus trossulus (common blue mussel) is the source of this 285-nucleotide long non-coding RNA. RefSeq lists it as uncharacterized. The record is from RefSeq and is a predicted model, not a curated record. NCBI's taxonomy places the organism in Eukaryota, Metazoa, Mollusca, Bivalvia, Mytilida, Mytilidae. The transcript is spliced from 3 exons.